This 398-nucleotide long non-coding RNA is filed under the name Marmota monax (woodchuck). Lineage: Eukaryota; Metazoa; Chordata; Mammalia; Rodentia; Sciuridae. The record is from RNAcentral.
GGGCACACUCUGCUCAGGCUCCCUUUGCAAGCUUUCGCUUUAGAUGGUGGAAGGAACCAGAGAGGGGUUGCUCCUCUAACUGGGAGGGCUUAGUGGGGUCCCCGUGUCAGAGACUCUGCAGAGAUCACUGCAACUUAUGUCUGGCUCUGCUUUUUCCCCCUAUUCUUGGGGACCAACUGCCUUUUGGAAAUGAGGAAUUUGGGACCCCAGCAUUGGAUUCAGAAGCAGAGGGUAGGGCUCUAAGUGCAGUUUGGGGCAGCUGCAAAUUCUGAGGGCAGCUUUGGGGCCUGCUGGGGUCCUUGUGACUCUGACCUAUCUCCAGCUGCUGUGUUUAGAGACGCUCCAGGAAGUCACAGCCUUUCAUAGGUGGGAGAACACAGAAGCAGGUAAGUUGGCCU